GCUAUCUACAGGCUUAACACAUGCAAGUCGAGGGGCAGCAUGGUCUUAUCUUGCUAAGACUGAUGGCGACCGGCGCACGGGUGAGUAACACGUAUCCAACCUGCCGUCUACUCUUGGACAGCCUUCUGAAAGGAAGAUUAAUACAAGAUGGCAUCAUGAGUCCGCAUGUUCACAUGAUUAAAGGUAUUCCGGUAGACGAUGGGGAUGCGUUCCAUUAGAUAGUAGGCGGGGUAACGGCCCACCUAGUCUUCGAUGGAUAGGGGUUCUGAGAGGAAGGUCCCCCACAUUGGAACUGAGACACGGUCCAAACUCCUACGGGAGGCAGCAGUGAGGAAUAUUGGUCAAUGGGCGAGAGCCUGAACCAGCCAAGUAGCGUGAAGGAUGACUGCCCUAUGGGUUGUAAACUUCUUUUAUAAAGGAAUAAAGUCGGGUAUGGAUACCCGUUUGCAUGUACUUUAUGAAUAAGGAUCGGCUAACUCCGUGCCAGCAGCCGCGGUAAUACGGAGGAUCCGAGCGUUAUCCGGAUUUAUUGGGUUUAAAGGGAGCGUAGAUGGAUGUUUAAGUCAGUUGUGAAAGUUUGCGGCUCAACCGUAAAAUUGCAGUUGAUACUGGAUAUCUUGAGUGCAGUUGAGGCAGGCGGAAUUCGUGGUGUAGCGGUGAAAUGCUUAGAUAUCACGAAGAACUCCGAUUGCGAAGGCAGCCUGCUAAGCUGCAACUGACAUUGAGGCUCGAAAGUGUGGGUAUCAAACAGGAUUAGAUACCCUGGUAGUCCACACGGUAAACGAUGAAUACUCGCUGUUUGCGAUAUACUGCAAGCGGCCAAGCGAAAGCGUUAAGUAUUCCACCUGGGGAGUACGCCGGCAACGGUGAAACUCAAAGGAAUUGACGGGGGCCCGCACAAGCGGAGGAACAUGUGGUUUAAUUCGAUGAUACGCGAGGAACCUUACCCGGGCUUAAAUUGCAGAUGAAUUACGGUGAAAGCCGUAAGCCGCAAGGCAUCUGUGAAGGUGCUGCAUGGUUGUCGUCAGCUCGUGCCGUGAGGUGUCGGCUUAAGUGCCAUAACGAGCGCAACCCUUGUUGUCAGUUACUAACAGGUUCCGCUGAGGACUCUGACAAGACUGCCAUCGUAAGAUGUGAGGAAGGUGGGGAUGACGUCAAAUCAGCACGGCCCUUACGUCCGGGGCUACACACGUGUUACAAUGGGGGGUACAGAGGGCCGCUACCACGCGAGUGGAUGCCAAUCCCCAAAACCUCUCUCAGUUCGGACUGGAGUCUGCAACCCGACUCCACGAAGCUGGAUUCGCUAGUAAUCGCGCAUCAGCCACGGCGCGGUGAAUACGUUCCCGGGCCUUGUACACACCGCCCGUCAAGCCAUGGGAGCCGGGGGUACCUGAAGUGCGUAACCGCGAGGAGCGCCCUAGGGUAAAACUGGUGACUGGGGCU
This 1443-nucleotide ribosomal RNA is filed under the name uncultured organism. RNAcentral describes it as "SSU rRNA". It matches the Rfam family "Bacterial small subunit ribosomal RNA". The record is from RNAcentral.